UACGUAGGGUGCGAGCGUUUAAUCGGAAUUACUGGGCGUAAAGCGUGCGCAGGCGGUUUUGUAAGCCAGAUGUGAAAUCCCCGGGCUCAACCUGGGAAUUGCAUUUGUGACUGCACGGCUAGAGUGUGUCAGAGGGGGGUAGGAAUUCCACGUGUAGCAGUGAAAUGCGUAGAGAUGUGGAGGAAUACCGAUGGCGAAGGCAGCCCCCCUGGGAUAACACUGACGCUCAUGCACGAAAGCGUGGGGGAGCAAACAGG
RNAcentral lists this ribosomal RNA (257 nucleotides) under uncultured bacterium. RNAcentral's name for it is "partial 16S ribosomal RNA". It matches the Rfam family "Bacterial small subunit ribosomal RNA", at positions 524 to 776 of the family's 1533-position model. The record is from RNAcentral.